Molecule: non-coding RNA, 1936 nt
Organism: Durio zibethinus
Lineage: Eukaryota; Viridiplantae; Streptophyta; Magnoliopsida; Malvales; Malvaceae
Source: RefSeq, a predicted model, not a curated record
CAAAAUAAAUAAAAUGAAAGAAAAUAAAAACAACCAACCAGAAAACUCCACGUAAAUAAUUAAAUAACAGUCGCAGAAGCAGCAGAUGCCCAAAAAUAAGGACAUAGCUUAAGCGAAAAAAAAAAUUUCAGCUGCUACGGCCUACGAGACGACAAGGAGAAGGAAAAGAAGAAGAAAAUGGUCUAUUACGUUAGCUUGUUGUUUUACGGAGUGGGAGGGAUAGUGGUGGUGGGGAUGGCGUUGCUGGUGGCGUUUCAAGAGAAACUCGUUUACGUUCCGGUUUUGCCGGGUCUAACCAAGUCUUACCCGAUAACGCCGGCCCGACUCCGACUCGACUACGAGGAUGUUUGGCUCAGAUCCUCCGAUGGAGUCCGACUCCAUGCUUGGUUCAUCAAGCUCUUCCCUGACUGCCGAGGUCCAACCAUCCUGUUUUUUCAAGAGAAUGCUGGAAAUAUUGCUCACCGUCUGGAAAUGAUUCGCAUAAUGUUACAGAGGUUACAGUGCAAUGUCUUCAUGCUUUCAUAUCGAGGUUAUGGAGCAAGUGAUGGUUAUCCUUCUCAGCAUGGAAUUAUUAACGAUGCUCAGGCUGCAUUGGAUCAUCUCACUCAGCGGACAGAUAUUGACCCAAAUAGAAUAGUAGUCUUUGGAAGAUCACUUGGGGGUGCUGUCGGAGCUGUACUCACCAAAAACAAUCCUGAUAAGGUUGCUGCAUUGAUACUAGAAAACACUUUCACAUCUAUUCUGGACAUGGUUGGAGUUUUAUUGCCUUUCCUGAAGUGGUUUAUUGGAGGCCCUGGUACAAAAGGUCCCAAAAUUCUUAAUUUUCUUGUUCUCUCUCCAUGGAGUACCAUUGAUAUCAUUGGCCAGGUCAAGCAGCCUAUCCUUUUUCUUUCUGGCUUGCAAGACGAGAUGGUUCCCUCAUCCCACAUGCAAAUGCUGUAUGCUAAAGCAGCAGCUCAUAACAGGCAAUGCCUCUUUGUAGAAUUCCCUACUGGUAUGCACAUGGACACUUGGUUAGCUGGUGGUGACCACUACUGGAUAACAAUUCAGCAGUUUUUUGAAAAACAAGUGCCAGAGAAAAAGGAAAAUGAAUCAUCACAAAAUGGACAUGCCCAAUUGAGAAACAAACAAAAUCAUCAUCAAUUAGCCAAAUCAAAACCAAGUAUAGCCAAAUCAUCAUCAAGCAAAACCAAGGCUGGCAGAAAUUAGCCAAAUCAUCAUCAAGCCUAUUCCAAAGUCCAUCUGGGUUGACAGUCAUGAACACUGAUUCAAAAAGAUUUCCAGAGGAGAUGACUGGCUCGCAUGUAUCUUUUGAGAUUUUAUUGUUUGGCUCAGACCCUGAAUCUUAAACUUUGUGCCUUUUUCUUUUGAAGCUGCAGCUGUUAGAAGCACUCUAUAACAUGCAGCCUGCUGUCCUUGAUCAUUCUCUCCAAGAUUUUUUGCUGGCAUACAAAACACAAGCUGAUGAAAAGGAUAACGAAAAGAACGUAAACUCCCUUUUAGUAUGACUUUGACAAGUACGCAAAAUACCAUAUUAAUUCUGACUGGUUCCAAUGUAUGAAAUAAGAAGACUCUUAAAAAAAAAUGCAGAUGUAUGGUUGGUGCUGAUAUGCUGAGCUAUUUGUAUCUCUAUUUUUCUAUGGGACAGUCAUAGGUGUAUCACCAUUUGUUUCACAAUUUAGGUUUUUUCGAACUCUUCUCUUUUCUAUUGUCUUGUUGGUAAUUUUGAACUGUUAGUUUAUAUGGAAAUUUUGGUGGAAACUUGAAACGUCUUUCACUUUUUAUAAGAUGUACAAAAAAUAAGUCACAUGAAUUGAGACGAAGGUUCAAUUUAUUUGGAAGAAACUACUGAUUCAGACCUUAAUCUUGGAAUUCAGCUCAAAACUGAAGCAGCAAAGAAGGUAUUUUUUUGUCGCAUUGCCCUAUCAAUAAAAUA